RNAcentral lists this ribosomal RNA (431 nucleotides) under uncultured bacterium. RNAcentral describes it as "partial 16S ribosomal RNA". It matches the Rfam family "Bacterial small subunit ribosomal RNA", at positions 29 to 506 of the family's 1533-position model. The record is from RNAcentral.
AACGAACGCUGGCGGCAUGCCUAACACAUGCAAGUCGAACGAGACCUUCGGGUCUAGUGGCGCACGGGUGCGUAACGCGUGGGAACCUGCCCUUAGGUUCGGAAUAACUCCCCGAAAGGGGUGCUAAUACCGGAUAAUGUCUUCGGACCAAAGAUUUAUCGCCUUUGGAUGGGCCCGCGUUGGAUUAGCUAGUUGGUAGGGUAAAAGCCUACCAAGGCGACGACCAUAGCUGGUCUGAGAGGAUGAUCAGCCACACUGGGACUGAGACACGGCCCAGACUCCUACGGGAGGCAGCAGUGGGGAAUAUUGGACAAUGGGCGAAAGCCUGAUCCAGCAAUGCCGCGUGAGUGAUGAAGGCCUUAGGGUUGUAAAGCUCUUUUACCCGGGAUGAUAAUGACAGUACCGGGAGAAUAAGCUCCGGCUAACUCCGU